This 468-nucleotide ribosomal RNA is filed under the name uncultured bacterium. RNAcentral's name for it is "partial 16S ribosomal RNA". It matches the Rfam family "Bacterial small subunit ribosomal RNA", at positions 28 to 507 of the family's 1533-position model. The record is from RNAcentral.
GACGAACGCCGGCGGCGUGCUUAACACAUGCAAGUCGAACGGAAAGGCCCUGCUUUUGUGGGGUGCUCGAGUGGCGAACGGGUGAGUAACACGUGAGUAACCUGCCCUUGACUUUGGGAUAACUUCAGGAAACUGGGGCUAAUACCGGAUAGGAGCUCCUGCUGCAUGGUGGGGGUUGGAAAGUUUCGGCGGUUGGGGAUGGACUCGCGGCUUAUCAGCUUGUUGGUGGGGUAGUGGCUUACCAAGGCUUUGAUGGGUAGCCGGCCUGAGAGGGUGACCGGCCACAUUGGGACUGAGAUACGGCCCAGACUCCUACGGGAGGCAGCAGUGGGGAAUAUUGCACAAUGGGCGGAAGCCUGAUGCAGCAACGCCGCGUGCGGGAUGACGGCCUUCGGGUUGUAAACCGCUUUCACCUGUGACGAAGCGUGAGUGACGGUAAUGGGUAAAGAAGCACCGGCUAACUACGUG